RNAcentral lists this ribosomal RNA (253 nucleotides) under uncultured bacterium. RNAcentral describes it as "partial 16S ribosomal RNA". It matches the Rfam family "Bacterial small subunit ribosomal RNA", at positions 524 to 776 of the family's 1533-position model. The record is from RNAcentral.
UACGUAGGGGGCAAGCGUUGUCCGGAAUCAUUGGGCGUAAAGCGCGUGUAGGCGGGUCGGUAAGUCUGCUCUGAAAGUCCAAGGCUCAACCUUGGGAUGCGGGUGGAUACUGCCGACCUCGAGUCCGGAAGAGGCGAGUGGAAUUCCUGGUGUAGCGGUGAAAUGCGCAGAUAUCAGGAGGAACACCAAUGGCGAAGGCAGCUCGCUGGGACGGUACUGACGCUGAGACGCGAAAGCGUGGGGAGCAAACAGG